AUUGAACGCUGGCGGCAGGCCUAACACAUGCAAGUCGAGCGGAGCGGCGGACGGGUGAGUAAUGCCUAGGAAUGUGACUGGUAGUGGGGGAUAACGUCCGGAAAGGAGCGCUAAUACCGCAUACUAUCAGAUGAGCCUAGGUAGGAUUAGCUAGUUGGUGGGGUAAAGGCUCACCAAGGCGACGAUCCGUCACUGGUCUGAGAGGAUGAUCAGUCACACUGGAACUGAGACACGGUCCAGACUCCUACGGGAGGCAGCAGUGGGGAAUUUUGGACAAUGGGGGAAACCCUGAUCCAGCCAUGCCGCGUGUGCGAUGAAGGUCUUCGGAUUGUAAAGCACUUUUGGUUGGGAGGCGGUACCAACAGAAUAAGCACCGGCUAACUCCGUGCCAGCAGCCGCGGUAAUAC
Molecule: ribosomal RNA, 407 nt
Filed under: uncultured bacterium
Lineage: Bacteria
Description: partial 16S ribosomal RNA
Rfam family: Bacterial small subunit ribosomal RNA
Source: RNAcentral